GACACUGAGGCUCGAAAGCGUGGGUAGCAAACAGGAUUAGAUACCCUGGUAGUCCACGCCGUAAACGAUGUCUACUAGUCGUUGGGUCCCUUGAGGACUUAGUGACGCAGCUAACGCAAUAAGUAGACCGCCUGGGGAGUACGGCCGCAAGGUUAAAACUCAAAUGAAUUGACGGGGGCCCGCACAAGCGGUGGAGCAUGUGGUUUAAUUCGAUGCAACGCGAAGAACCUUACCUGGUCUUGACAUACACAGAAUCUUGUAGAGAUACGAGAGUGCCUUCGGGAAUUGUGAUACAGGUGCUGCAUGGCUGUCGUCAGCUCGUGUCGUGAGAUGUUGGGUUAAGUCCCGCAACGAGCGCAACCCUUGUCCUUAGUUACCAGCGGGUUAAGCCGGGAACUCUAAGGAUACUGCCAGUGACAAACUGGAGGAAGGCGGGGACGACGUCAAGUCAUCAUGGCCCUUACGACCAGGGCUACACACGUGCUACAAUGGUAGGUACAGAGGGCAGCUACACAGCGAUGUGAUGCGAAUCUCAAAAAGCCUAUCGUAGUCCAGAUUGGAGUCUGCAACUCGACUCCAUGAAGUAGGAAUCGCUAGUAAUCGCGGAUCAGAAUGCCGCGGUGAAUACGUUCCCGGGCCUUGUACACACCGCCCGUCACACCAUGGGAGUUGAUUGCACCAGAAGUGGUUAGCC
RNAcentral lists this ribosomal RNA (694 nucleotides) under uncultured bacterium. Its description in RNAcentral is "bacterial SSU rRNA". It matches the Rfam family "Bacterial small subunit ribosomal RNA", at positions 742 to 1435 of the family's 1533-position model. The record is from RNAcentral.